Gavialis gangeticus (Gharial) is the source of this 596-nucleotide long non-coding RNA. RefSeq lists it as uncharacterized. The transcript has 2 exons. Lineage: Eukaryota; Metazoa; Chordata; Crocodylia; Gavialidae. The record is from RefSeq and is a predicted model, not a curated record.
AGCCCUAGGAAGAAGAGAAGUAGCAAUUUCAGAUCUCUAAUAAUAAAGAAAAAUAACCAUCUACUGGUUCUGAAGGGGGAGGGCAUCCCACCUAGUGUUAAGGAAAUUCAGAAUCAAUCGUCAUUUUCAAGUUAAAGCUGAAAAUGAUGCUUGUCACAACUAGACUCUCUCUUCUUUUGUGGAUGGCCUUCCAUCUCCAUCUUCAGGAUGCUUACUUCAACGUUGCUCCUGCUGGAAAUAUCUUCAGCAUGGAAUAAGCCACUGCCAUUACCAAUACAUGAUACUUUCACACUUGCCCUCCCAAUAGCCCCAAGUCUUUACUAAAGUUAAUCAGGAAGGAUGAUGUAGCAGGCCAAGCCUUUCUUUUACAAAGUAAUUAAGGGAAACUUGCUGAGUAAGUGUCACUGCCUUGAUAGUAUAAUGUUGUAUUCUGCAACUUAUAGCCCAUGAAGUCACUUGAUCCAGUCCAUCCUGCUUGCAGAAAUGUUUUUUGUCCUUAUUUAAACAGUCUUUUGCAGGUCAUAAAACAAGGUUUCACUGGUUGACUGUCAGUGCUAAACCUCUUAUCUUUCCACGGAUCCACCUGGGAGACUGAA